AGGUGAACAUGUCCAACUUUGACCUGGUCAUGGAGUCGGACUUGGGGACAUUUACCCCGGUGGCUCUGCAGUUUACUGGCAGUGAUGCAGCACGAAAGGUGAUGGCAGAAGUGGUGAAACUGUUGGCUCCCAUUAUACGACCAAUCUGGAGCCACAUGGAGAAGGGACUGACAUAUCACCGUGGAUGCAGGCAGGAGUACCAGGUGCUAGCCUCCAUGUAGCAGACAAUCGAUACUUUUGGUUCCACCACAGUGAAGGUGAUACCAUGACUGUUCAGGACCCACAAGCCAUGAAUCUCUGCUCAGCAUUGUGGGCCGUGGUGGCCUAUGUCGUAGCAGACCUACAGGACAUGCUGCCCAGGUAGCCGGUUAGCACACAGGAUGCUGAGGCCCCCCCCCCCCAGGAAACAGGAAGAGCGGAUGAUGACUAUGAACAGCUGGACUGGUUGAUUCCAAAACACGUGGUCAAAUCCAACUUUUUUUUUUUAAAAAUGUUUUAAAAACUUGAUUAAGUUAUAAAAUCUAAAAAAUUGAUUGUGAGUAGUCCAUCACUUUAAGACCAAGAACAUUAGAAUAGUGGACUUUCUCAGGUAUUGUUUCUCUUUAUGCCUUGUGUGCUGAAGUGAAAAUAAUCAACAGUUGGCUCAUAAAUAACGGUCUUGAGAAAUUAAGGAGCUGUUCAAAUUUUCAAUGUUUCCAGUGUUAAAGAGAAGAACAACCUUUUCUUUAAAAGACACAGCUUCAUGUGUUAUUUUAAAAAUUUCAAAUAUUAGAGAUUCUUCCUAAUGCACAUUUACAAUGUUUGAGAUUUUACAUUGCAGUGUUGCAAUAUGAUCAAUAAAGUAUUAAUCAUUGCUUUACCCCUUCACCCCCAUCUGCUCUUCUGCCUUAAUACCAUAGAUGCUUAAUACUGAUCAUGUAGUUUCUUUGAUGGAAGAAAGAGGAAGGUGACGACAAAUGAGACAUACGCAUCUAGUCCGUGGAAAGGAGAAAAUGGAAUGUUGAAGCAGGAGGUGGAUUCAUACAGAGGAGAGGAAGUAGAGAAUUAAUCAUUUUGCAGUCCAACACACACACACAGCUGGGACCUCUUUGUCCGAUCUGAGAGUCAGCACUCCUGAGUGGUGAUGUCAGACUCUACAGUAUAUGUGAUCCAGUAUGCAGAAACCUGAAGGUGUUUAACAUCCUGAUGACAUUAAUCAGGU
This is a long non-coding RNA of Etheostoma spectabile (orangethroat darter), 1201 nucleotides long. RefSeq lists it as uncharacterized. The transcript has 4 exons. The record is from RefSeq and is a predicted model, not a curated record. Lineage: Eukaryota; Metazoa; Chordata; Actinopteri; Perciformes; Percidae.